CUGACGUUAGCGGCGGACGGGUGAGUAACACGUGGGUAACCUACCUAUAAGACUGGGAUAACUCCGGGAAACCGGGGCUAAUACCGGAUAAUACAUGAAACCGCAUGGUUUCAUGAUGAAAGACGGUUUUGCUGUCACUUAUAGAUGGACCCGCGGCGUAUUAGCUAGUUGGUAAGGUAACGGCUUACCAAGACAACGAUACGUAGCCGACCUGAGAGGGUGAUCGGCCACACUGGAACUGAGACACGGUCCAG
This 254-nucleotide ribosomal RNA is filed under the name uncultured Staphylococcus sp. Its description in RNAcentral is "partial 16S ribosomal RNA". It matches the Rfam family "Bacterial small subunit ribosomal RNA", at positions 86 to 334 of the family's 1533-position model. The record is from RNAcentral. Lineage: Bacteria; Bacillati; Bacillota; Bacilli; Caryophanales; Staphylococcaceae.